ACUUUUACAGAAAGUGAAACUAAUUCUACUUUAUACAGUGACACGGUUUGGCUCUGUGUUCCCACCCGAAUCUCAUGUUUAAUUGUAAUGCUCAGUGUUGGAGGCGGGGCCUGGUGGGAGGUGAUUGGAUCAUAAAGGUGGAUGCUUCAUAAUGGUUUAGCACCAUUGCCCCGAUGCUGUUCUCAUGACAGUGAAUGACUUCUUAUGAGAUCUGGUUGUGAAAAAGUGCAGCACUUCCACCCUCUGUCUUUUGCUCCUGCUCCGGCCAUGUAAGAUGAGCCUGAUUCCCCUUCACCUCUGCCAUUAGAUACUAUAACAGUCUACCAUAACCUGAGUGGCUUAAAAGAAAUAUAUACUUUCACAGUUUUGGAGGCUAGAAAUCUAAAGUCAAGUUAUAGCCAGGACGAUGCUCUCUCUGACACUCUGGGAGGUGGAAGGCAUGAAAAUAGGUUAAAGAUAUAAUUGGGAAAGAAGUAGCACAGCAGCACUCAUGACAGCCAGGAUUGGAGCAAGAGUUGAACAAGCAAGACAUAGUCUGUCAAGCUGCACAGCGAACAUCUUAUUUGUCACAGAUGACUUUUGGGGGUUGUUUGUAACAAAGGCAAAGUGAAGAGUGAGAGAGGAGGAAGGAAGAAACUGGUCCAGCAGACAUUAGGAUGGCUUCUCAGUAAUAUUCCUUCAAACCAAGAACAGCCUGAAAACUUAACUGCAGGUCCUGGAUAAGAAAAAGCCCAUGUCCCUAAAUGGAAAUUCCCAUUCUGCCAGUGUAAAUGGAUCAUGCUUCACAUUGUUUAAAUGAAAAUAGAACUUUUUGUGCAAAGCGUAAUUCAAAUGUUGACACUAUUGAUAAAGAAAAAGAUGAGGAUAAAUAAGAAUAAUGUAAAUCUUUGCCGGUGACGUCCCUGUCCAAAGUUAAUUUUAAGUGGCAAUGGAUGAAGUUCACAGUGAUGUCAAGUAUCUCCUUUUCGUUGUUAGUUAACCAAGAAAGAAUACUUACCAUACCCGAAUAUUAACACCAGAAGGAUUAGCUUAAUGGCUCUAGCCUGAAGGCUGUUGUUGGAAAAAAAAAAAUGGCUAGUUCUGUAUUUUUACAGCAAUAACGCCCUUUAGGGUGCUUUUUUAAAAACUGAGAGAUGACAUUUUUUGAAUAGAUUUUCUAAGCCUCGCAUCCUGAAUUACUCAAAAGCAACUAAUUUUUAAACUCUUUGAAACUUAAAAGAGACACAAAAAAUGUGAGUCUCAUGCAACAAGCCUCUAAACUAGCUCUAACUUGUGUUUCAGAAAUAUGAUCACUUGAUAAUCCUGAAGACCAACUGGGGAAAGAAUGGUGGAAAGGGAAAUACUCCAUUAGUACAGAUAUUUCUCUAAUUUCUUGGUUUAUAAUCCACUGCACUUC
Molecule: non-coding RNA, 1396 nt
Organism: Callithrix jacchus (white-tufted-ear marmoset)
Lineage: Eukaryota; Metazoa; Chordata; Mammalia; Primates; Cebidae
Source: RefSeq, a predicted model, not a curated record